This 479-nucleotide ribosomal RNA is filed under the name uncultured Campylobacterota bacterium. RNAcentral describes it as "bacterial SSU rRNA". It matches the Rfam family "Bacterial small subunit ribosomal RNA", at positions 400 to 896 of the family's 1533-position model. Lineage: Bacteria; Pseudomonadati; Campylobacterota. The record is from RNAcentral.
CGUGGAGGAUGACGCAUUUCGGUGUGUAAACUCCUUUUAUGAGUCAGGAAAAUGACGGUAGCUCAUGAAUAAGCACCGGCUAACUCCGUGCCAGCAGCCGCGGUAAUACGGAGGGUGCAAGCGUUAUUCGGAAUCACUGGGCGUAAAGGACGCGUAGGCGGGAAGCCAAGUCUGAUGUGAAAUCCUAUGGCUUAACCAUAGAACUGCAUUGGAAACUGGUUACCUAGAGUAUGGGAGGGGGAGAUGGAAUUAGUGGUGUAGGGGUAAAAUCCGUAGAUAUCACUAGGAAUACCGAAAGCGAAGGCGAUCUCCUGGAACAAUACUGACGCUAAGGCGUGAAAGCGUGGGGAGCAAACGGGAUUAGAUACCCCGGUAGUCCACGCCCUAAACGAUGUUCACUAGUCGUCGGAAUGCUAGUCAUUUCGGUGAUGCACUUAACAGAUUAAGUGAACCGCCUGGGGAGUACGGUCGCAAGAUUA